GAUGAACGCUAGCGAUAGGCUUAACACAUGCAAGUCGAGGGGCAGCACAAGGUAGCUUGCUAUCUGGGUGGCGACCGGCGCACGGGUGCGUAACGCGUAUGCAACUUGCCCUAUACAGGAGGAUAACCCGUCGAAAGACGGACUAAUACUGCGUAUGCUCACAACUUGGCAUCAAGUGGUGAGGAAGGAAAUUCGGUAUAGGAUAGGCAUGCGUCCCAUUAGCUUGUUGGUGAGGUAACGGCUCACCAAGGCAACGAUGGGUAGGGGAACUGAGAGGUUUAUCCCCCACACUGGUACUGAGACACGGACCAGACUCCUACGGGAGGCAGCAGUGAGGAAUAGUGGUCAAUGGGCGCGAGCCUGAACCAGCCAAGUCGCGUGAAGGAUGACUGUCUUAUGGAUUGUAAACUUCUUUUAUACGGGAAUAACAAGAGUCACGUGUGACUCCCUGCAUGUACCGUAUGAAUAAGCAUCGGCUAACUCCGUG
Molecule: ribosomal RNA, 487 nt
Filed under: uncultured bacterium
Lineage: Bacteria
Description: partial 16S ribosomal RNA
Rfam family: Bacterial small subunit ribosomal RNA
Source: RNAcentral